Molecule: ribosomal RNA, 445 nt
Filed under: uncultured bacterium
Lineage: Bacteria
Description: partial 16S ribosomal RNA
Rfam family: Bacterial small subunit ribosomal RNA
Source: RNAcentral
GUGAGGAAUAUUGGUCAAUGGGCAGGAGCCUGAACCAGCCAAGUCGCGUGAAGGAAGAAGGAUCUAUGGUUCGUAAACUUCUUUUGCAGGGGAAUAAAGUGCAGGACGUGUCCUGUUUUGUAUGUACCCUGAGAAUAAGGAUCGGCUAACUCCGUGCCAGCAGCCGCGGUAAUACGGAGGAUCCGAGCGUUAUCCGGAUUUAUUGGGUUUAAAGGGUGCGUAGGUGGUUUGAUAAGUCAGCGGUGAAAGUUUGCAGCUUAACUGUAAAAAUGCCGUUGAAACUGUCGGACUUGAGUGUAAAUGAGGUAGGCGGAAUGCGUGGUGUAGCGGUGAAAUGCAUAGAUAUCACGCAGAACUCCGAUUGCGAAGGCAGCUUACUAAGCUACAACUGACACUGAAGCACGAAAGCGUGGGGAUCAAACAGGAUUAGAUACCCCGGUAGUCC